Poecilia latipinna (sailfin molly) is the source of this 407-nucleotide long non-coding RNA. RefSeq lists it as uncharacterized. The transcript has 2 exons. Lineage: Eukaryota; Metazoa; Chordata; Actinopteri; Cyprinodontiformes; Poeciliidae. The record is from RefSeq and is a predicted model, not a curated record.
AAAGCAGCUGCCACAAAUAUGUUUAAAGAUAUAUCACUAUUUGCAAACAAUUUUUCUUCAUCAACAUAAUCUAAACUGGACAAAUUCCUCGCUGAUUGAUACCAGUUUCACUACGAAGGUUACACUUGAUUCUGCUGUGGUGCCUGUGGAAACAAAGUACAUGAAGUUUGUACUGAGGUGGGAAAACCCUGUGGAUCACAUGGUGGGACUUCUGCUUCAAACUGCUCACUACAGUUUACCACUGCCUCUGUCAUCCACCAGUUCAAUGCAGACUGGCACCAGUUCACUGCAGACUGGCACCAGUUCACUGCAGACUGGCACCCGCCAAGGACCCUACAUGGAUGUCUUCUUAAGUUGUAAACCCUGAGUACAUACUGUUGAAAUAAAAUUGAUAUGCCUUUUGUAAA